This 264-nucleotide unclassified non-coding RNA is filed under the name Glomeraceae sp. RNAcentral describes it as "partial contains 5.8S ribosomal RNA and internal transcribed spacer 2". The stretch from base 1 to 71 matches the Rfam family "5.8S ribosomal RNA", at positions 84 to 154 of the family's 154-position model. The record is from RNAcentral. Lineage: Eukaryota; Fungi; Glomeromycota; Glomeromycetes; Glomerales; Glomeraceae.
GUGAAUCAUCAAAUCUUUGAACGCAAAUUGCACUCUCUGGUAUUCCGGAGAGUAUGCCUGCUUGAGGGUAAGUUUAAAUAAAAAUCGGUGUGGUUGCUGCCUUUCGUGGUGACGCACCGGAUUUGGGUCGUCUUGCUUUUGGUUAAGUGAUUUAAACUUUUGCAUGUUUUUUUUCGAACGUAUUUAAAUGUUUUUACGUACGUUUGCGAUAUCGAAUACUAGUUGUGGUCAUCCUCAUGACUCGCGCCUAUAAUUUUUCUUCAA